RNAcentral lists this ribosomal RNA (468 nucleotides) under uncultured bacterium. RNAcentral describes it as "partial 16S ribosomal RNA". It matches the Rfam family "Bacterial small subunit ribosomal RNA", at positions 28 to 507 of the family's 1533-position model. The record is from RNAcentral.
GACGAACGCUGGCGGCGUGCUUAACACAUGCAAGUCGAACGGCAAGGCCCUGCUUUUGUGGGGUGCUCGAGUGGCGAACGGGUGAGUAACACGUGAGUAACCUGCCCUUGACUUUGGGAUAACUUCAGGAAACUGGGGCUACUACCGGAUAGGAGCUCCUGCUGCAUGGUGGGGGUUGGAAAGUUUCGGCGGUUGGGGAUGGACUCGCGGCUUAUCAGCUUGUUGGUGGGGUAGUGGCUUACCAAGGCUUUGACGGGUAGCCGGCCUGAGAGGGUGACCGGCCACAUUGGGACUGAGAUACGGCCCAGACGCCUACGGGAGGCAGAAGUGGGGAAUAUUGCACAAUGGGCGGAAGCCUGAUGCAGCAACGCCGCGUGUGGGAUGACGGCCUUCGGGUUGUAAACCGCUUUCGCCUGUGACGAAGCGUGAGUGACGGUAAUGAGUAAAGAAGCACCGGCUAACUACGUG